Long non-coding RNA from Alnus glutinosa, 915 nucleotides. RefSeq lists it as uncharacterized. Lineage: Eukaryota; Viridiplantae; Streptophyta; Magnoliopsida; Fagales; Betulaceae. The record is from RefSeq and is a predicted model, not a curated record. The transcript has 2 exons.
UUUUCCCUCCGAAGCAGACAUUUCCCCCAUCGAGCAGGACCAAAAAUUUCUCCCCCCAUUUCCGGCGACCCAUUUCCCCAUUCCGGCCGUUCUCCCCCCUUUUUCGGCUCCGACCUGCAAUCUCUGGCCGUCUACACUGCCGCCCUACAUUCCCCCAUUUCCGGCGACCCAUUUCCCCCAUUCCGGUCGAUCUCCCCCAUUUUCGGCACCGGUAGCGAUUUCUGGCCGUCUUCUAUCCCCGACCGAGCUUCCACCGUCUUGCUCCGAAGACCCAUCGACCGUUCCGCUUCGACGAGCCCAACCGAGCCACCACUGCAGACGACUCCGACGACCAUCCACCCAUGGUUGUAAAUGUAAAUAUUUAGACUGGGUUAAUGAUCCUUCCAUAUGCGAGCAUGGCGAAAGAGUUUUGAACCGGUUAAAGGAUAAAUACAUAUGCCUAAAAGAUAAAAAAGAAAGGCUACAGGCUGCGAUUGCGAAGAGCGAUACAGUAGAAAAGGAAAAAUGCUAGUGCAAGGAAGAAAUGGAAAUGGAAGUUGCCGAAUGUCAAAAGAAGUUGGCGGUUGAAAUAGACUAAAUGUGUUUUUCUUUUAUCUAUAAAAUUUUGUUGAGCAGUGCUACGAUGGGGCAAAACUUCCAGAAAUCAUCCGGAAGUUUUGCCCCAUCCAAGUUUUACCCAAUUUUGUUUAUAGCAUUAUAUGUUCCUAGGAUAUAGUGAAAUUUUUAUGUUGUAAUGUUGAAUAAUGGAUAAGCACUACAAAUGUUGGAUGUCAUUGUAAUGUUGCUUUUGCUUAUGUGGAAUGCAUCUUGGCCUUGGGUGUUUGGUAUGCUCGUUAAUGACUUUGGCCUUCUAAAAUGUCUCUGUGUAGUUUAUACAGUUCUCUAUACAGCUCAUGUGCGUACAUGUUUAAGCGA